RNAcentral lists this ribosomal RNA (512 nucleotides) under uncultured bacterium. RNAcentral's name for it is "partial 16S ribosomal RNA". It matches the Rfam family "Bacterial small subunit ribosomal RNA", at positions 28 to 523 of the family's 1533-position model. The record is from RNAcentral.
GAUGAACGCUAGCGGCAGGCCUAACACGUGCAAGUCGAGGGGUAACUAGAGUGAUAGCAAUAUUACUUUGGCUAGACCGGCGCACGGGUGCGUAACACGUAUGCAACCUACCUUAUACUGGGGAAUAACUUCGAGAAAUCGGCGCUGAUACCCCAUAACAUUGCGAAGAGGCAUCUCUUUGCAAUUAAAGCUCCGGCGGUAUAAGAUGGGCAUGCGUCCAAUUAGCUAGUUGGUGAGGUAACGGCUCACCAAGGCUACGAUUGGUAGGGGUUCUGAGAGGAUGAUCCCCCACACUGGUACUGAGACACGGACCAGACUCCUACGGGAGGCAGCAGUGAGGAAUAUUGCGCAAUGGACGAAAGUCUGACGCAGCCAUGCCGCGUGCAGGAUGACGGCCCUAUGGGUUGUAAACUGCUUUUGUACAGAACGAAAAGGUUUCUACUAAUACUAGGAGCUCAUGACGGUACUGUAAGAAUAAGCACCGGCUAACUACGUGCCAGCAGCCGCAGUAA